RNAcentral lists this ribosomal RNA (393 nucleotides) under uncultured bacterium. RNAcentral's name for it is "partial 16S ribosomal RNA". It matches the Rfam family "Bacterial small subunit ribosomal RNA", at positions 523 to 918 of the family's 1533-position model. The record is from RNAcentral.
AUACGGAAGGUCCGGGCGUUAUCCGGAUUUAUUGGGUUUAAAGGGAGCGCAGGCGGAGAUGCAAGCGUGACGUCAAAUUUCGGGGCUCAACCCCGUCUCGCAUCGCGAACUGCGUCCCUUGGUUGCGGGAAGGGGAGGCGGAACUCGUGGUGUAGCGGUGAAAUGCAUAGAUAUCACGAAGAACUCCGAUCGCGAAGGCAGCCUUCCGGCCCGUCAACGACGCUCAUGCUCGAAGGUGCGGGUAUCAAACAGGAUUAGAUACCCUGGUAGUCCGCACAGUAAACGAUGGACACCCGCGGUUUGGCCUGUAUGGCUGAGCCGCCAAGCGAAAGCGUUAAGUGUCCCACCUGGGGAGUACGCCGGCAACGGUGAAACUCAAAGGAAUUGACGGGG